GGGCCCUUGGCACAGUUGGUAGCGCGCCCGCUUCGCAUUGUUUGGUGACUGCGUGAGGUCGUGGGUUCAAUUCCCACAGUGUCCA
Non-coding RNA from Desarmillaria tabescens, 85 nucleotides. NCBI's taxonomy places the organism in Eukaryota, Fungi, Basidiomycota, Agaricomycetes, Agaricales, Physalacriaceae. The record is from the annotation of a RefSeq genome assembly.